UUUAGUUCCCCUCGAUACAACUUUGUUCAGAUGGCGGUGCGAUGGACGCACGACAUCGAUGGGAAUUCUCGACUACACGUGGCGGAAUUACGUACUUAAUAUCACGUCGCGCAGACUGGGAGCGUCACAUCACUCUCAGGAUCACAGCAGUGAUCUUCGAAAUUCAUCUCGCGUGACGACGGAUCCUCUUUCUUCGCGUAUAAGCUCGACGUAGCCCGACUGUAGUUGUGUGUAUCCUAAACACAAAUUCAACGAAACCAAAUCCGCGCAUUUGGAGAGUUAUGGUCAUCCUUCGCGAUUAUCAAGUUCGUGUCUUGUUGCAAUAUUCGAGGUGCAGAUAAAGGAAAUUUAGUUAUAAAAAAAAUCACGGUGGAUAAGAAUUAGAAAGAGAUUGUGAAACGCGAUCGAUCGUAUGUCAAACGUCUUCAAAAAUCAUAUCUGUCCCUCGUAUUCGCAAACGCAACGUGGAUAUAUUUUCAUCGAAGAAGAAUAUGCAAUAUAGAGCAGAUACCGAAAACGAUAUCGAUCUCCUUCGACUAGAAAGAAAGGAACGGAACGAAACGUUUCUCCAACCAUCCAAAGUACAUUUGACGAAGCCGAGAUUGUUGGUACCCGGUGUGCGCUCGUCGGCCACAGAUUGUGCACGUUCCACACGAGAUUCAUUCACAUGACCAACCUCUAAGCUGCAGAGAAAGGUUCAGUUGGAUACAAUCGUUCAUAUCGACCGGCACGAUUGACCAAUCAAAGAGUUUUAUGUUCGACUGGCCAAUAAACAAUGUGUCCAAUUGAAUGCCACUCGAAGCCGCGAACUGAUCGGAUAUCGUUUAUAACGCAACUGAACGUGGCGCGGUAGUUGGAUGAAGCUCGAAAUCCCACGAACAGCUGGCCUCGAAGAUUCUCCGUAUAACAUCAGUAAGAAGUGACCGUACUUGUCAUUCAGCCCUCGAAUAAACUUCUUAUUAAGUCUCGAUAAACAAAGUUUUUUUUUUCCCUUUUUUUUAUGACUCACGUCUCCUCGCCAACUAUGUCGCAAUGUAUAUGUGUUAAUUAUACCGUCGAUAGGUGAGCAUGUGUAAUAGAGGUGCUAUUAACGGUAAUGUAUCAUGGAACUGCAUAUAUUAAAUUGCUUGCCCUUUGAAACUCUUGUCAGUAUGCCGGCAGUGUUUCUCGAUAACGCGAUCCGUCAAUUACUAGUGCACGACAAUAGUGUUGGAAGAAACGAACGGCCAGUAUGUUUAUCAGUAGUGGUACUAUGUAUGCGAUGCAAUUGCCCAAGUCAGAAACGCCGCAGACUCGCUGCCAAUUAUUCAAUGGCGUCAAGGAUAUUAUAUUUGAGCUAUGCCUCCACUUGCAGAAAAUACAAUAGAUCUAGUGAUAGAACUGGAUGACAGUUUUAUCGACGUUCUGCAUGUGCCUUCUUUAGUAGCAUUAUUCCUUUUAUGGUAAUAAAACUAAAGAUCUUUCAUCAACGUUCAAUUGUUAAAGUAUAGAAAAAUAAAUUAAGAUAAGUUAAGAUUCUGAAUAUAAUUUACUCGAAGUGUAAAAACAGAAAUCGACAAGAAUUGUGUGUUGGAUGAAUUUGCAAAAUCUUGUGUUGUCAUACAAGAUUCUUGUCCUUGAUAUCCCAUCUAACUUCUUUUAAAUUUUUGAGUUUUUUUCGCCUCAAAGACAUAUUGUGCGACUAACGUAAUUCGCAGCAUACAACUACAUAAUAUUAUGUAACAAUACUGUUACAAUGUUAUAUAAUUUAAAUACACCUUAUAAUUGUAU
This is a long non-coding RNA of Cataglyphis hispanica, 1770 nucleotides long. RefSeq lists it as uncharacterized. The record is from RefSeq and is a predicted model, not a curated record. The transcript is spliced from 3 exons. Lineage: Eukaryota; Metazoa; Arthropoda; Insecta; Hymenoptera; Formicidae.